CAAGAACAUUUGUUAUUUCUACCCAGGCGGAAAGCAAACAGCAGCAAGAGCAGCAGAAGAUUCAAUGUCGGAACAGCCUACAAACUGCAGGCUGUAACCUCGACGGUAUUGAUUGAGUGCACUUGUCCAUCUUCAUUUUUAACGCAAAAUAAAAUGCGUGAAGAACUGUGGAGAUGGCCAGGCAAAGGAGGAUCUUCUUGGCUUCAUUUGUACCAGAGCACUUUAUCAAGACUGAAUAUAAUUUUGCUGGCCUAUUUAUGAGCUAAAAAUAGACAUUAUUUUGUUUGGCCCAUUUUCCAUCUUAGGCUCUCCUGGGAGCCCAGGUGAACUGUGGCUCAUUUUUAACUCCCUCCCAUCAUUGCGUAUUUUCCGUCGACCCAGGCUGCAUGGAAGUGAAAGUCACUUUGUACUGCCAGUCGCACUGGAGCGCGCUGAAUCUCCCAGAAGCAGGGAAAGAAAAAGGCCCGUGGAGAGGACUUUCCAUUCUUAGCGAAACCUAGCUGCUGUGGCCUGAGGGGCUAAUCAAGCAUUAUAAACACUGAUUAAAUAAGUUUGGAUGGGAGCAAAUUCUGCAUCUUCCGCCGCUGACUCGUGGGUCCUGAGGGGACUGCCCCUCCUACCCAGAUCUUGCUGUGGGUAGAAUUUAUGAAACUGUAAUCCAGCGACCUUCGUGUGGUCUCCAGACAAUCUCCUCCUGAGCUUAGAACUUUAGAGCUGAAUGUUACCUUAUAGAUGAUCUAGAUCCUUGCUACUGAAAACGUAACGCGCGGAACAGCAGACGGCCCUCAUCAGGAAUCUCGUCAGACAUGUAGAAUUCCCACCCCAGCCCUACGGAAUCAGAUCACGCCUUAAACGAGAUUUCCAGGUGGUUCACAUGCGCAUUGAAGUUCAAGAAGCAAUGGUGUGGAUCAAGACCCUUGUUUUAUAGGUUAGGAUGCUGUGGCCCCGAUCUGGGCAGUUAUUAGCUAGCAUCCCACAACAACCGUCAGAGCCUGCCAUUCUCCUUUCUCCAGGAUGCUGCGGUCCCUCCAUAUGACACGGCUUCUCUGGACUCUUGAAUGAAGAGUUAUUUGUAUAGUAUUUGCGUUCGUUAGUGGGAAAGGAAAUAGCACCUUGUUCACAUAAACAUAACCUGUGUCUGUGUUUCCAUGAUCUCUGAUAUAACUUGUUGAAAACGCCUAGCACAGUGCCUGUCUAUGUGGUAGGUGCCCAACUGACACUGUGAUCGUAUUGAUAAAAUUAUUAAUACUAAUAGUUGUUAUUGUCAUUAAUUUUGUGCUUGCAGUAAAAGUAACAGAAAAUAGUGAAAAUUUUCCUUGGAGGUUGCCUUAUACACCCAACCAGCUUGCAGACCAGAUCAGGAAAUCCUAGAGGCUGGUAUGGUGGGAAUGGGUUUACUUUCACUUAAAUUCCUACCACAGGGUAGGAGGUGGUUGGCUGGUGAAACAUCUACCAGCGCAUCACAGCUCCUUGUUGUCAUAAAGGAUUAUGUUUACCUGCUUCCCUGGCAGUGGUAAAAUAAAAAGAUGCGAAGUCAUUAAAGACACUACCACUGUCUUCUGGGAGAAUCUCUUCUCAUCAUAGGCUCAGUCUUUCUGGAUAAUUGGGUGACCACUCACCUCCUGGCCAGUGAUGUCUCUUCUCUUAAUUCUUUUCUUCCUCUUCUUCCUUCUCUUCCUUUGACAUUAGUCAAGCAGCUCCAUGGAGCUUUUUUUGCAGAUUUUUUGAGGUUUUCUACACAGCAAAUCACGUCAUCUGUGAAGAGAGAGUUUAAUUUCUUUUCCAGUCUUCUCCUGAAGUGCCCUCUGUCCACAGAGUGCACCUGCUGAGGAGUCACUGAGGACCAGCUGAGUGACACAGGCAGUUACACACAAGCAUGGAGCCAAGAUACCUGACAGUGGCGUGGACUUCCUGGAAGAAGUGAAUGUGAAUAGAACUGAAAGUAGAGGAGAAAGGGCAUUCUCAUGCAGCAAUGCGAGAAGUGUGAUGAGUCUACAGCUUAGACCCCGGGAUGAGGUAUCUGCCACCCUAACUCCUUCAGCUGCCAUUGGCUAUUUUUGCCCUUGAAGCUGCUGCGCAUCCUGCCUUGCGCAUCCUGCCUUGCGCAUCCCUGAGAGGCCAAGGAAGCCAGCUCUAGUGAAGGCCUGGAACUCUGCUCAGCCUUUGUACCAAGAGCAUUUGUUUCUUACAUUUAAGAUGUGAAGUAAAAAUGAAAGUGGCUUCUGCA
Long non-coding RNA from Equus caballus (horse), 2227 nucleotides. Lineage: Eukaryota; Metazoa; Chordata; Mammalia; Perissodactyla; Equidae. The record is from Ensembl.